RNAcentral lists this transfer RNA (631 nucleotides) under uncultured Prochlorococcus sp. RNAcentral describes it as "partial 16S-23S ribosomal RNA intergenic spacer". The stretch from base 251 to 323 matches the Rfam family "tRNA". The record is from RNAcentral. Lineage: Bacteria; Bacillati; Cyanobacteriota; Cyanophyceae; Synechococcales; Prochlorococcaceae.
CAGGGAGACAAUAAAUUGAUUGUGAUGUCUAAGUUAUUUAUUCUUAGGCCGCAAUCCUGUCACCUUAAGGUCGAUCGGUACCUCAGAUUUUUGAAUUAUUUUUAUAUUUGAUUCUUUGAUUUCAGUUCCUAAACUUGUCUAGGUCACACCCAACAAAGGUUUCUCCUGGGCCAUUAGCUCAGGUGGUUAGAGCGCACCCCUGAUAAGGGUGAGGUCCCUGGUUCAAGUCCAGGAUGGCCCAUUCGUUGUUGGGGGUAUAGCUCAGUUGGUAGAGCGCCUGCUUUGCAAGCAGGAUGUCAGCGGUUCGAGUCCGCUUACCUCCACUGAAAACUAUCCUGAUAACUAAAUUCUGGAGAAAAAAUUGUAGAUGUGGCUUAGAAUUGUCUAUUUGAAGAGAACCUAGCUUCUUGUCAUCUUUUUAUAGUUGAUAAAAUGCUGGGCUCGCAUGGAUUAUUUCCAUGAGAAUUCAGUAGAACCUUGAAAACUGCAUAGAUAAGAAAGAAUAAAGCAUCUCAUGGAUGCAUAAUUCUGUUUUUAUAAUUUAGCCUUAAAACUAAAUUAUUUAAUUAUAGAAUUCAUGUUUAAUUCUUGAGUAAAAGCCGAGCACAAUUGAUUUUGUGAUUGUAUUUAA